Nematostella vectensis (starlet sea anemone) is the source of this 2133-nucleotide long non-coding RNA. RefSeq lists it as uncharacterized. The transcript has 2 exons. The record is from RefSeq and is a predicted model, not a curated record. NCBI's taxonomy places the organism in Eukaryota, Metazoa, Cnidaria, Anthozoa, Actiniaria, Edwardsiidae.
GUUCAGAAUAUUCAAGGAGGAAGUUUUCAAAAUGAUACUGUGACGAAUGUUAGUGUAGCAAGGUAAAAUGCAAAGGCUUUAAACAAUAAGACGGAAGAUAAACCAUAGUUAAAAUUUUAUUUUAUUUUACUGUUUUGACGAAUAUGACGUGGAGUUUCCCGCGUUUCGUUGGCAAGGAGAGCACUUUUCACCGACAAAACCGUUGGGCUGUGGCGGAAAACGCCGGAUUAGGGUAACAACUAAUAAAGUUUUGCUUAUCUUCAGAAAGGCAGGAGGUUUGGGUAUCUCUUUAACGCAGUGACCAUGGAACACGCAAAACGAUAAAAAGAAGAGCAACGAAUAUACGACAAAAAUACAUUUAAAGUUGGUGAAUGGGCAGAUGGUUUGGGUAUGGUUUGAAUGGGCAGAUAUUCGCCGUGAUGUGGUAUUCGAAGUGAAUCUAGAUACUGAAGAAAGUAUUUAAGCAUUCAAAUCCAAUUCCUGGUUUUAGAUAUGGAAGCGCAGUGAUUGUGCCGUUUAAAACGAUAUUCUUAUAGAUAUCACACUCUUUUAGCUGUCAAAAAGAGCUGCGACGUUUGGAAAGCGAUCACACGAGAUGAUAAAGUUGAAGUCUCCUGCUAUAGUUCUCACCUCUUACCGUUAAAAUCACAAUCACUUCAACUCUUUUUUAAUUUGUUUUCAUUUUCUGCUUGAAUUUGAUUUCUCUUUGCGUUUGUACUUACGAUAACCAUCAUUGCCCAAAGAAACAAAGAAACUCUUAGAAAUGGAAUCUGAAAUGACCGAGAGGAGGAUUCAUCUGCCCAACAACAAGAUAGCAAGUGAUGAAUACCUCUCAUCCGAACCAGGGGUCGCGUCUCAAAUUUUCCCACGAAAUUCCACAAUGGCGCUGCCACCGUGUUCCCUAUUGGUAUGGUAACGCAAACUACUAGAUACAAGGCUACAGUAGAUGAUCUUAUUCGACGCAAAUAGCAAGAAUCACUUACGACAAACGAAACAGUGCCAUACUUUGAAGAUGGCAUGCGCACGGGUUAAAGCUAAUAUGUGGGAUUAGAGCAUUAAGAAGCUAGCCAAUACAUUUGUGUAAAUAUUGGCAUAGAGAGGAAGGGAUAUAAAACCUUCUCGUUCUCAUUAGAAGAACCUCUUAUUUUUAAAGCUCAACUGAAAGCUUUAUUUCUGAAAUAUUUAUCCAUAUAUAGUACUUGAUAAUUUCAGGCGAAAAAAUACGCCUUUUUUUUCUAAGGAAUUAAAUUUUCUGUAUAUUUAUUUUCUAUAUAUGAGAGGCCGUUCUUUCGUUAAAAUUUCUCACUCAAGUUGGUUUAGAAUAUAUUCUAAAGGAUAUGAUUUAAUAAAGGGUCAUGUACCAUAAUCAACAGAGACAGUAAUAAAAAUCAAUGUCGAUGGCCCCAAAUUAACCGCCAGUAUAAAUUUCUUCUAAUUUCUACGGUCCAACCUUCUGUACAAAAAUAAACAAAAGAGCUUUUACGGAUGGUUUAUGAUGUGAAACCGUGAGUGUUAAUCUUUGUGGGUGAUUUUUUGUCAUUUUCUAAAGGUCACAUGGGCGGGAAUAACAGUCUCCUCGAAAAUUCAAGAGUGUGAAAAAUAAGAUAUGAUGCUCAAAACUUAAAAAUAUCAUUAAUGCUAGAAUACGGAUAUACGGAAGAUUUAUAACCCAAGGAUCACGUUUUCCCAUCCAAAAGAUUAAGAAACUACAAGAGAGUGUUGAGAGCUACCUAAUCCUUCUCAAAACAUGACUUAAGUAACAAAUAUCCUAAAUAUCAUUAUUCCAGAAUGUUUUGAUAUAGUGUUUUGAUAUAACUUAAUUUUUUUUUUGAAAUAUUAUUAUAGCUUCCUUUCCAAUUUCUGCAUUGGAAAAACCUCGCAUAAGAUUCACUUCCCUUUGGCCUUGCAAACAGUCCUUUGAUCUUUGGACUGAACCGCCCUUAGUUGAUUAUAUACUGUGUUCUGCGAGCAACAUAUUUGUUUGGAGGAUAUGUUAACUCUGCGCAAACACCACUGUUAUUAUAUUAGGCGGAUCUUAAACAAAUGGCGACGGCAGAGAACAAUGGAGUUUGAUUCAGAAUUAAUAGUAGCACGUGAAAUGCGUUUUGUCUAAUAAAUUUUUCUCCAAACCUU